UACGUAGGGGGCAAGCGUUGUCCGGAAUCAUUGGGCGUAAAGCGCGUGUAGGCGGCCCGGUAAGUCCGCUGUGAAAGUCCAGGGCUCAACCCUGGGAUGCCGGUGGAUACUGUCGGGCUCGAGUCCGGAAGAGGAGUGUGGAAUUCCUGGUGUAGCGGUGAAAUGCGCAGAUAUCAGGAGGAACACCAAUGGCGAAGGCAGGUCUCUGGGCAUUAACUGACGCUGAGGAGCGAAAGCAUGGGGAGCGAACAGG
RNAcentral lists this ribosomal RNA (253 nucleotides) under uncultured bacterium. RNAcentral's name for it is "partial 16S ribosomal RNA". It matches the Rfam family "Bacterial small subunit ribosomal RNA", at positions 524 to 776 of the family's 1533-position model. The record is from RNAcentral.